UACGUAGGGACCAAGCGUUGUUCGGAUUUACUGGGCGUAAAGGGCGCGUAGGCGGCAUGACAAGUCACUUGUGAAAUCUCCGGGCUUAACUCGGAACGGUCAAGUGAUACUGUCGCGCUAGAGUGCGGAAGGGGCAAUCAGAAUUCUUGGUGUAGCGGUGAAAUGCGUAGAUAUUGGGAGGAAUACCGGUGGCGAAGGCGGCUCCCUGGACCGGUACUGACGCUGAGGCGCGAAAGCGUGGGUAGCAAACAGG
This 253-nucleotide ribosomal RNA is filed under the name uncultured bacterium. RNAcentral's name for it is "partial 16S ribosomal RNA". It matches the Rfam family "Bacterial small subunit ribosomal RNA", at positions 524 to 776 of the family's 1533-position model. The record is from RNAcentral.